RNAcentral lists this ribosomal RNA (503 nucleotides) under uncultured bacterium. RNAcentral describes it as "partial 16S ribosomal RNA". It matches the Rfam family "Bacterial small subunit ribosomal RNA", at positions 30 to 523 of the family's 1533-position model. The record is from RNAcentral.
AUUGAACGCUGGCGGCAUGCCUUACACAUGCAAGUCGAACGGCAGCAUGGAGAGCUUGCUCUCUGAUGGCGAGUGGCGAACGGGUGAGUAAAGCAUCGGAACGUACCGUGUAGUGGGGGAUAACGUAGCGAAAGUUACGCUAAUACCGCAUACGCACUGAGGUGGAAAGCAGGGGAUCGUAAGACCUCGCGCUAUACGAGCGGCCGAUGUCAGAUUAGCUAGUUGGUAGGGUAAGGCCUACCAAGGCGACGAUCUGUAGCGGGUCUGAGAGGAUGAUCCGCCACACUGGGACUGAGACACGGCCCAGACUCCUACGGGAGGCAGCAGUGGGGAAUUUUGGACAAUGGGGGCAACCCUGAUCCAGCCAUGCCGCGUGAGUGAAGAAGGCCUUCGGGUUGUAAAGCUCUUUCGGCCGGGAAGAAAUCGCACAGGCUAAUACCCUGUGUGGAUGACGGUACCGGCAUAAGAAGCACCGGCUAACUACGUGCCAGCCGCCGCCGUAA